RNAcentral lists this ribosomal RNA (606 nucleotides) under Nocardia pseudovaccinii. RNAcentral's name for it is "bacterial SSU rRNA". It matches the Rfam family "Bacterial small subunit ribosomal RNA", at positions 46 to 669 of the family's 1533-position model. The record is from RNAcentral. Lineage: Bacteria; Bacillati; Actinomycetota; Actinomycetes; Mycobacteriales; Nocardiaceae.
GCUUAACACAUGCAAGUCGAGCGGUAAGGCCCUUCGGGGUACACGAGCGGCGAACGGGUGAGUAACACGUGGGUGAUCUGCCCUGUACUUCGGGAUAAGCCUGGGAAACUGGGUCUAAUACCGGAUAUGACCAUGGGAUGCAUGUCUUGUGGUGGAAAGAUUUAUCGGUGCAGGAUGGGCCCGCGGCCUAUCAGCUUGUUGGUGGGGUAAUGGCCUACCAAGGCGACGACGGGUAGCCGACCUGAGAGGGUGACCGGCCACACUGGGACUGAGACACGGCCCAGACUCCUACGGGAGGCAGCAGUGGGGAAUAUUGCACAAUGGGCGGAAGCCUGAUGCAGCGACGCCGCGUGAGGGAUGACGGCCUUCGGGUUGUAAACCUCUUUCGACAGGGACGAAGCGUGAGUGACGGUACCUGUAGAAGAAGCACCGGCCAACUACGUGCCAGCAGCCGCGGUAAUACGUAGGGUGCGAGCGUUGUCCGGAAUUACUGGGCGUAAAGAGCUUGUAGGCGGUUCGUCGCGUCGAUCGUGAAAACCUACCGCUCAACGGUGGGCUUGCGGUCGAUACGGGCGGACUAGAGUACUUCAGGGGAGACUGGAAUUC